GGAAGGAUCAUUAUAAAAUGCUCAAAGCAUAACCACCAUUUUGUGCACUUGACCAACUGUUACUUUGGUGAUGCUUCGUGUUCCUACAGCUGGCACGACUUGCACUAUUUCCGAGUUGGGAAAAAGUGCAAGUGGCACACCAAAGGCUACUUAUACACACAUCUUGAUUGAACCUUUGCUUGACAUAGUCAUAUCUGCGAAUAUGAAUCAUUUCUAACGAAUACAACUUUUAACAACGGAUCUCUUGGCUCUCCCAUCGAUGAAGAACGCAGCGAAUUGCGAUACGUAAUGUGAAUUGCAGAAUUCAGUGAAUCAUCGAAUUUUUGAACGCAUAUUGCGCUCCCUGGCAAUCCGGGGAGCAUGCCUGUUUCAGUAUCAGUUCCCCAAAGCAAAUCCUCCCUUUUGUGGAGGGAAGCUGUUCUUGAGCUUUCUCACCAUUCAGAAUUGCCAUCGACACUGUUGUGGUGUCAAUGUUGAUUCUGACAGGGUGAGUUGCUUGAAAUUAAGAGAUUGGCCGCAGCAGCUUGCUGGUAAAAUCGACCUUUCUGGUGCAAUAUGAAGCCGUAACCGGUUUUACAGAAUAUUCACCUCUGGCCGAGCAGCGAGUUGGGCUUUUGCUGGCCUUUCAUGACAAAUUGUAACCGCUGAUGGAUGUCGGUGGCUACGCAACCUUUGAUCUGAAAUCAGGUAGGACUACCCGCUGAACUUAAGCAUAUUAAUAAGCGGAGGAAAAGAAACUAACAAGGAUUCCCCUAGUAACGGCGAGUGAAGCGGGAAAAGCUCAAUUUUGAAAUCUGUGUCUCCCCGAGGCACAGAGUUGUAGUUUAUAGACGCGUUUUCGGCGGCGGCGUCAGUAUAAAUCCUUUGGAACAGGGUAUCGUAGAGGGUGAGAAUCCCGUCUUUGACUGACGACACGCUGCUAUGUGAUACGCGCUCUGAGAGUCGCAUUGUUUGGGAAUGCAGUGCAAAUUGGGUGGUAAAUUUCAUCUAAAGCUAAAUAAUGGGGAGAGACCGAUAGCGAACAAGUACCGUGAGGGAAAGAUGAAAAGCACUUUGAAAAGAGAGUCAAAUAGUACGUGAAAUUGUUAAAAGGGAAACGAAUGAGACCAGUAAUCUUGGCAGCUAAUCAGCCAACUCUACGUAGCUUGGGGCAGCUUGAAGAGUGUCAAAGCCUUCAGCUAUCUCACAGCCAUGUCGAACUGGUGCACUUUGCUGCCAGGGAGUCAGCAUCAGUUUGCGUUGGCGGAAAAACUUCAGCGGAAGGUAGCCAUGGCCUCGGCCGUGGUGUUUAGCCGCUGGUAGCACACGUCGACGUGGAUUGAGGAACGCAGAGUGAUGCCACUUGGCAAGGGCGACCUGGUGCUGUCGAGUGCGGUGUUGCAGGCCAGCUUGCUGACUGGGACAUAGUUGCUUGACACCCGCCAGGCUCCGCUACACACGCUCUUGGGUUGCUGACGAAAUGGUUUUAUCCGACCCGUCUUGAAACACGGACCAAGGAGUCUAACAUAUGUGCGAGUAUUUGGGCGUCAAACCCAUAUGCGCAAUGAAAGUGAAUGCAGGUGGGAGCCUUGCGGCGCACCAUCGACCGAUCUGGAUAUUUUUUGAUAGAUUUGAGUAAGAGCAUACAUGUUGGGACCCGAAAGAUGGUGAACUAUGCCUGAAUAGGGUGAAGCCAGAGGAAACUCUGGUGGAGGCUCGUAGCGAUUCUGACGUGCAAAUCGAUCGUCAAAUUUGGGUAUAGGGGCGAAAGACUAAUCGAACCAUCUAGUAGCUGGUUCCUGC
Molecule: unclassified non-coding RNA, 1782 nt
Filed under: uncultured fungus
Lineage: Eukaryota; Fungi
Description: sequence contains 18S rRNA gene, ITS1, 5.8S rRNA gene, ITS2, 28S rRNA gene
Rfam family: Eukaryotic large subunit ribosomal RNA (bases 674-1782)
Source: RNAcentral